This 104-nucleotide ribosomal RNA is filed under the name uncultured bacterium. RNAcentral describes it as "partial 16S ribosomal RNA". The record is from RNAcentral.
AAGGCCUCGGGUUGUUAAAGCUCUUUGUCCGGAGCGAAACGGUUACGGUGAAUAUCCGUGACUACUGACGGUACCGGAAGAAUAAGCACCGGCUAACUACGUGC